Molecule: non-coding RNA, 25 nt
Filed under: Arabidopsis thaliana (thale cress)
Lineage: Eukaryota; Viridiplantae; Streptophyta; Magnoliopsida; Brassicales; Brassicaceae
Also listed under: 3 other names
Source: RNAcentral
CAGACUGUGAAACUGCGAAUGGCUC